GACGAACGCUGGCGGCGUGCUUAACACAUGCAAGUCGAACGGAAAGGCCCUGCUUUUGUGGGGGGCUCGAGUGGCGAACGGGUGAGUAACACGUGAGUAACCUGCCCGUGACUUUGGGAUAACUUCAGGAAACUGGGGCUAAUACCGGAUAGGAGCUCCUGCUGCAUGGUGGGGGUUGGAAAGUUUCGGCGGUUGGGGAUGGACUCGCGGCUUAUCAGCUUGUUGGGGGGGUAGUGGCUUACCAAGGCUUUGACGGGUAGCCGGCAUGAGAGGGUGACCGGCCACAUUGGGACUGCGAUACGGCCCAGACUCCUACGGGAGGCAGCAGUGGGGAAUAUUGCACAGUGGGCGGAAGCCUGAUGCAGCAACGCCGCGUGCGGGAUGACGGCCUUCGGGUUGUAAACCGCUUUCGCCUGUGACGAAGCGUGAGUGACGGUAAUGGGUAAAGAAGCACCGGCUAACUACGUG
RNAcentral lists this ribosomal RNA (468 nucleotides) under uncultured bacterium. RNAcentral's name for it is "partial 16S ribosomal RNA". It matches the Rfam family "Bacterial small subunit ribosomal RNA", at positions 28 to 507 of the family's 1533-position model. The record is from RNAcentral.